Molecule: ribosomal RNA, 472 nt
Filed under: Campylobacter jejuni
Lineage: Bacteria; Pseudomonadati; Campylobacterota; Epsilonproteobacteria; Campylobacterales; Campylobacteraceae
Description: partial 23S ribosomal RNA
Rfam family: Bacterial large subunit ribosomal RNA
Source: RNAcentral
AAAGGUAAGCUACUAAGAGCGAAUGGUGGAUGCCUUGACUGGUAAAGGCGAUGAAGGACGUACUAGACUGCGAUAAGCUACGGGGAGCUGUCAAGAAGCUUUGAUCCGUAGAUUUCCGAAUGGGGCAACCCAAUGUAUAGAGAUAUACAUUACCUAUAUAGGAGCGAACGAGGGGAAUUGAAACAUCUUAGUACCCUCAGGAAAAGAAAUCAAUAGAGAUUGCGUCAGUAGCGGCGAGCGAAAGCGCAAGAGGGCAAACCCAGUGCUUGCACUGGGGGUUGUAGGACUGCAAUGUGCAAGAGGUAAGUUUAGCAGAACAUUCUGGAAAGUAUAACCAUAGAGGGUGAUAGUCCCGUAUGCGAAAAACAAACCUUAGCUAGCAGUAUCCUGAGUAGGGCGGGACACGAGGAAUCCUGUCUGAAUCCGGGUCGACCACGAUCCAACCCUAAAUACUAAUACCAGAUCGAUAGUG